AACGCUAGCUACAGGCUUAACACAUGCAAGUCGAGGGGAAACGACAUCGAAAGCUUGCUUUUGAUGGGUGUCGACCGGCGCACGGGUGAGUAACGCGUAUCCAACCUGCCCAUCACUUGGGAAUAACCUUGCGAAAGUAAGACUAAUGCCCAAUGAUAUCCCACGAAGGCAUCCGAAUGGGAUUAAAGAUUUAUCGGUGAUGGAUGGGGAUGCGUCUGAUUAGCUUGUUGGCGGGGUAACGGCCCACCAAGGCAACGAUCAGUAGGGGUUCUGAGAGGAAGGUCCCCCACAUUGGAACUGAGACACGGUCCAAACUCCUACGGGAGGCAGCAGUGAGGAAUAUUGGUCAAUGGGCGCGAGCCUGAACCAGCCAAGUAGCGUGAGGGAUGACGGCCCUAUGGGUUGUAAACCUCUUUUAUGCGGGAAUAAAAUGUUUGACGUGUCAUUCAUUGUAGGUACCGCAAGAAUAAGGACCGGCUAAUUCCGUGCCAGCAGCCGCGGUAAUACGGAAGGUCCAGGCGUUAUCCGGAUUUAUUGGGUUUAAAGGGAGCGUAGGCCGCAAGUCAAGCGUGUUGUGAAAUGCAGGGGCUCAACCUCUGGAUUGCAGCGCGAACUGGCAUGCUUGAGUACGCACGAGGUAGGCGGAAUUUGUGGUGUAGCGGUGAAAUGCUUAGAUAUCACGAAGAACUCCGAUUG
RNAcentral lists this ribosomal RNA (696 nucleotides) under uncultured bacterium. RNAcentral describes it as "bacterial SSU rRNA". It matches the Rfam family "Bacterial small subunit ribosomal RNA", at positions 32 to 715 of the family's 1533-position model. The record is from RNAcentral.